GACGAACGCUGGCGGCGUGCUUAACACAUGCAAGUCGAACGGAAAGGCCCUGCUUUUUUGUGGUGCUCUAGUGGCUAACGGGUGAGUAACACUUGAGUACCCUGCCCUUGACUUUGGGAUAACUUCAGGCAACUGGGUCUAAUACCGGAUAGGAGCUCCUGCUGUAGGGUGUGGGAUGGUAUGUUUAGGCGGUUGGGGAUUGACUCGCGGCUCAUCAGCUCUCUGGUGGGGUAGUGGCUUACUAAGGCUUUGACGAGUAGCCGGCCUGAGAGGGAGGACUGCCACAUUGGGACUGAGAUGCGGCCCAGACUCCAACGGGAGGCAACAGUGGAGAAUAUUGCAAAAUGGGCGGAGGGAUAGUGUAACAACGCCGUGUGAGAGAUGACUGCCUUCGGGUAGGAAUCGGAUUUCGCCUGAGACGAAGCGUGAGUGACGGUAAUGGGUAAAGAAGCAACGGCUAACUACGUG
RNAcentral lists this ribosomal RNA (468 nucleotides) under uncultured bacterium. Its description in RNAcentral is "partial 16S ribosomal RNA". It matches the Rfam family "Bacterial small subunit ribosomal RNA", at positions 28 to 507 of the family's 1533-position model. The record is from RNAcentral.